This 852-nucleotide ribosomal RNA is filed under the name uncultured Zetaproteobacteria bacterium. RNAcentral describes it as "bacterial SSU rRNA". It matches the Rfam family "Bacterial small subunit ribosomal RNA", at positions 44 to 890 of the family's 1533-position model. The record is from RNAcentral. Lineage: Bacteria; Pseudomonadati; Pseudomonadota; Candidatius Mariprofundia.
AUGCCUAACACAUGCAAGUCGAACGGUAACAGGUCUUCGGAUGCUGACGAGUGGCGCACGGGUGAGUAACGCGUGGAUAUCUGCCUAUGAGUGGGGGACAACUUUCGGAAACGAAAGCUAAUACCGCAUAAUCUCUACGGAGCAAAGCAGGGGACCUUUCGGGGCYUUGUGCUUAUAGAUGAGUCCGCGUCAGAUUAGCUAGUUGGUGGGGUAAGAGCCUACCAAGGCGAUGAUCUGUAGCUGGUUUGAGAGGAUGAUCAGUCACACUGGAACUGAGACACGGUCCAGACUCCUACGGGAGGCAGCAGUGGGGAAUUUUGCACAAUGGGCGCAAGCCUGAUGCAGCGAUGCCGCGUGUGGGAAGAAGGCCUUUGGGUUGUAAACCACUUUCAAUUGGGAAGAAGGGAUGAGUAUUAAUAAUACUCUGACUUGACGGUACCUUUAGAAGAAGCACCGGCUAAUUUCGUGCCAGCAGCCGCGGUAAUACGAAAGGUGCAAGCGUUGUUCGGAUUUACUGGGCGUAAAGAGAUCGUAGGUGGUUUGUUAAGUUAGAUGUGAAAUCCCGGGGCUCAACCUCGGAACUGCAUCUAAAACUGGCAGACUUGAGUUCGGGAGGGGUAAGCGGAAUUCCGUGUGUAGCAGUGAAAUGCGUAGAUAUACRGAGGAACACCUGAGGCGAAGGCGGCUUACUGGACCGAUACUGACACUGAGGAUCGAAAGCGUGGGUAGCAAACAGGAUUAGAUACCCUGGUAGUCCACGCCCUAAACGAUGUCAACUAGCCGUUGCGGGUAUCGACCCCUGCAGUGGCGCAGCUAACGCGAUAAGUUGACCGCCUGGGGAGUACGGUCGCA